AGAGUUUGAUCCUGGCUCAGAGCGAACGCUAGCGGCAGGCCUCAUACAUGCAAGUCGAGGGGCGACAGGACACUUCGGUGUUGCUGGCGACCGGCGCACGGGUGCGUAACACGUAUGCAAUCUGCCUUGUACAGGAGGAUAGCUCUCGGAAACGAGGAUUAAUACUCCAUAUUGUCUUAUUAGCGCAUGCUAGUGAGAUG
This 200-nucleotide ribosomal RNA is filed under the name uncultured bacterium. Its description in RNAcentral is "partial 16S ribosomal RNA". It matches the Rfam family "Bacterial small subunit ribosomal RNA", at positions 8 to 202 of the family's 1533-position model. The record is from RNAcentral.